This 20-nucleotide microRNA is filed under the name Homo sapiens (human). Its description in RNAcentral is "hsa-miR-4448". The record is from miRBase by way of RNAcentral. Lineage: Eukaryota; Metazoa; Chordata; Mammalia; Primates; Hominidae.
GGCUCCUUGGUCUAGGGGUA